UAUAUUCUCAACAUGGCUAUGAUCUGGUCCUACCAAUGGGGACUAUUCGUUGGCCUGUUGACUUGUAAUAUAUAACAAACUGAUUUUGACACCACACCACCGGUGAUUAGAUAGUAGUUAAAUGGAUACUAUUACUAUCGAUGGUUAAUAAUAGUAGUUUUUGGCUCUUUGUGUGACUCGUGCCAUGGAGUUUCGUAGCCAUAGCCUAUUAAUGUUCAAAUUUUGGUAUAAAAGAUUUAUAAAAGUAAUAAUAAAUUUCAAAAAAAGUAUGUUUAUUGAUUAUUUUUUUGGUCAUUAUUUUAUGUUUUAUUUAAAUAUCUGCCAUGCUUUGACCCCACUCUGGGGUAUUCUGUUGCCUACUGGGCCAAUAUAGCUCAUUAUCAUAUUUUCUCUAUUUUCAGAUCCAGAU
Molecule: long non-coding RNA, 409 nt
Filed under: Phoenix dactylifera (date palm)
Lineage: Eukaryota; Viridiplantae; Streptophyta; Magnoliopsida; Arecales; Arecaceae
Description: long non-coding RNA (PDAC_LNC004687)
Source: RNAcentral